AGUGGGUUAGCUGGGUCAAAGGGUGGUUCCAUUCCAUGUUUUCCAAGGAAUAUCCAUACUUCUUUUCAUAUUGGCUGCACCAAUUUGUAGUCCCACCAGCAAA
Molecule: microRNA precursor, 103 nt
Filed under: Marmota monax (woodchuck)
Lineage: Eukaryota; Metazoa; Chordata; Mammalia; Rodentia; Sciuridae
Source: RNAcentral